Molecule: transfer RNA, 71 nt
Filed under: Camelus dromedarius (Arabian camel)
Lineage: Eukaryota; Metazoa; Chordata; Mammalia; Artiodactyla; Camelidae
Also listed under: 1 other name
Rfam family: tRNA
About the family: Transfer RNA (tRNA) molecules are approximately 80 nucleotides in length. Their secondary structure includes four short double-helical elements and three loops (D, anti-codon, and T loops).
Source: Rfam by way of RNAcentral
GAGGGUAUAACUCAGCAGGAGAGUGCAUGCUUAGCAAGCACAAGGUCCUGAGUUCAACACUCAAUACCUCG